Gadus chalcogrammus (walleye pollock) is the source of this 3298-nucleotide long non-coding RNA. RefSeq lists it as uncharacterized. The transcript is spliced from 3 exons. NCBI's taxonomy places the organism in Eukaryota, Metazoa, Chordata, Actinopteri, Gadiformes, Gadidae. The record is from RefSeq and is a predicted model, not a curated record.
UCCAUGAUGCAGACUCAGUGGAGUUAGUGCUACCGGAAACUCGACUAAACGAAUGAACAAACAAACGAUUCGCGAACGACUCCUCGUGGCGAACUGAAUCACGUGAACUGGGUCACUGAAACUAAUCAUUAAAUCCACCAUUAGGUAAAACACGACAUUGCACACUGUAUGUCCCAUGGGAUGGCAUCCCUUGGUGAGAAAAAGGGAUUAACCAAUCAGGUGAGGCAACCGUCAUGACACUGAGCCUCCUGUGAUUAGUCAGCAGUGUGCCAAGGGAAGCCUUCACACCAAUCAAAUGAAAGCAUCAACGUCAAGGUAAACAAAUAGCGGGAGAUUAGCACGUUUGCAUUUUUUUUUAUCAUAUUAUCGUAUAAGCAAGUGGAGUUAUGGAGGGUCGAGAUUUAGAGUAUUUAGUAAAUUGUACCAUACUGCCACAUGGGCAGCAACUAAAGAAUAAAUCUGGCGGCAGGCCAAUGCCUAAGCUUCAGCUGCGUGUGGAGAGAAAGAAGAGUGGUUAUCGCACUUUCAAUGAGGAGAACUAUGUCCGCACCGAGUGGCUAGCUGGUAGCGCUAAACUUCAGCCACUAUUUUGCUGGCCAUGUCUUCAUUUUGACAAAGAUUCAUGCUCCCUGAACAUUCCCUGGGUUACUUAUUGACCACUUCGCCACCAUGAAAGACAGGAGAAUGGCCUUCCUAUACAAAUAGGGUCCUGUUUGGCUAGGCCAGGUUUUCCUUCUGUGCAGCUGCUGGAUGACUGGCCUGCCAUAUAUUCCCUGGUAUACAUCCCAUGUAGGAGAUCAUUUAUGAACUUCUGGGGGCUUUGGAAGGAGCAGCGCUCCACAAGUCCUUUUGGAAUGACCUUUAAUGCAAGUAGAUAACAUUACCACAAAUCUACUUCAACAUACAGCAGACUAGCGUCUUACCUCAAUGAUAUAUAUGUGCAUUUAGAUUAACCGAGUGAACGGCUGAUGCAUUUAGAAAAACAGUGCGACUGAAACUACUGCAAAUGUAACUUAACCUAUACAAAUAAAGUCAAACAGAUUCUUACAGAGUGGCCCAGGGCCUCUGUUGCUGAUGCUGAUGAUGGACCUGGAGCUGGUGAUGGGUCUUCUGUUGCUGGUGCUGGAACUGCUGUUGGUGCUGGUGCAGGGCUCCAGACUAACUUUUUCACAGGGACCAGCUCAUAUAGUUAGGCCUCCUGCUCCUCUUACCCUGGGAGAACUGCUUAACAUCCUGCCUGGCAUCAUAGUCCUCCAGUUGUGGCCCCUCAACACUAAUACGGAUUAGGUCCUCAACAGUUUCAGUAUGCAGGCUUGAUCUAACAUCUGACUUGAUUCUGUUUACUGACGAGAAGCCUCUUUUCACAGACUGCUGAAGAGAUUGGGAGCACCAGCAUGAUUUUGACCAGGUGUAGGAUAUUCUGCAAAAGACGAAGUGUGGUGAUCAAACCAACUUUCCAAAUCACCAAGUCAACAGUGACAAUGAUCAUGUAAUUUUUGAUACUACAGAUAACAGAGCCUACCGCAAAGUCUGAGCAGUAGGGCUCUUUUGUCGUCAUGACUUGCCACAGUCCAAGAUAGCUUUUGUCCUUGAAUGACGUGUUUAUCGUCAUUUUCAUCAGUUGGAACUCCUCUUUGGCCUUUUCUUUGCUGCAGCCAUUCCUGGCAUGAGAUGGAAGAAUGGCAGGAACAAGGAGGUCUGUAUCAACAUGAUUCAAUUUAUUAUGUCAACAUAAAUAUGAUAGCACACGAAAAACUCACCUGUCCAGGACAGUGGAGAAGUGUCGUAGGAGAAAGUUCACCUCUUCCACACCAUGGUUCAGGAGCUCCAGCCUAUUAUCUGCCCAAAAGUCAUGGCUGAAGACAUUGAAACACUUCACUGCCUUGGCUGUUGGUGCAUCCUUUGUGUUCUCUUCUAUCAGAAAAAGACAGACAGAAAAAGGUUAGGCCUCUCAACAGUGCUCUAAACAUGUCAUUGUGCCUAUGAUAUAAUGCUAAAAUACAACAACUCACCAAGUAGGCUGCUAAAUCUAUUCUUCAGGUGUUUCACUGUGGACUCACAGGUCAGCACAAUGGCUCUUUGCAGUCUGGGAGCACACUGGCUGAUUGGUUGACCUUCUGCCAGCUCUGCAGCUUCACCUUUAGAAAGCGUGACAUCCUGUGAAGCAUGCAAAAUUAAAAUGCUAUGUAUAUCUUAUUAACAUGAAAUAUACAUUAGAUUUUAUAUAGAGUAUAUUGUGUACCUGAUACUUGAACGUCCCAGCCCCAGGUUCUCCUCCUCUCUGUUGGCGCUGCUUCUUCAUGGCUGCAAGGAACUCAGACAGCUUACCAUCAGGUUUGGGGCUAGCUGCCAUAGCUUCUAUGGUAGCCAAGAGAGAUUCGAUGCCACUAACAGCCUGGGAAGACAGUUUUAUUCUUAAUAUAAGCAACAUGUUAAGGGGAAUAUAAAAGUAAUCCCCUGGCCUCCUUUUUCUCUCUUCUUUACCUGAGGUAGGAUUACAUUGUUUUUCUGAAGCUGCAGGCUGAAGUUGCUGAUGGAAGAGAAAAGGUCUGACAGGAAGUGGCAAAAUGCCACAUGUCCCAUCCUCCAUGCUGACUUUGACCUGCAAAUAUGUAGUUCUGAUUCUCAACUCAUAAAACACCAAAGUUAAAAUGUUUUCAAUAAUUGAUUCAUACUGUCAACACAAAACACUGAGAUAAGAUAAUACUUACCUUCUUUGCUCUGCCAGCUAUCUGCACUGGCCGAGGCACCUGCCAGAUGCUCCAUGUGCACAUACACGGCUGUAAACUGGCCAGAGGAAUUACCAUCCUUCCCUGGUUUUAGGAAGGUCCUCAAACUCCGGGACACAUGGGGCAGCCACCUGGUCCCUUUCACUCCACUCGGUGCCUUCACUGUGACUGUUCAGCUCCAAGUGCUUUGAGUUCCCUCAUUGAUUUAGGGGUUAGGUGGUAUGUUUUCCAGAUGAGGUGCAACAGGUCAUACACCUGCCCAAUCAUGGAGACCUCUCUUUGCACCCUCAACAUCCCUAGCUCCAAUCUUUACAGAAAAUAGAUAUAUAUUUUUUACAUUUUAAUUACACUUUGGAGAAUGAAUAUGUAUGGCAGAUAUGGUAAAAGGGAACCUACCUGUGUGGCAUGCAGUGGAAUGGGACAAUGAAGGACCCAAUCUCUGCUUGAAGGAGGGCUAUCACUCCACCUCUGUGUCCCAGAUUGACAGCUGCACCGUCUGCACCCAUGGCUACAAUUUUUUCCGCCCAGUUCUCACAAGGCUUUCUUGGCUGCAGCAUAAACGCCUUAAA